UAAGGAAUAUUGGUCAAUGGACGCAAGUCUGAACCAGCCAUGCCGCGUGGAGGAUGAAGGUCCUCUGGAUUGUAAACUUCUUUUAUCUGGGACGAAACACUUCUUUUCUAAGAGGCCUGACGGUACCAGAUGAAUAAGCACCGGCUAACUCCGUGCCAGCAGCCGCGGUAAUACGGAGGGUGCAAGCGUUAUCCGGAUUCACUGGGUUUAAAGGGUGCGUAGGUGGGUAUGUAAGUCAGUGGUGAAAUCCCCGAGCUUAACUUGGGAACUGCCAUUGAUACUAUAUAUCUUGAAUACCGUAGAGGUAAGCGGAAUAUGUCAUGUAGCGGUGAAAUGCUUAGAUAUGACAUGGAACACCAAUUGCGAAGGCAGCUUGCUAAGCUGUAACUGACGCUGAGGCACGAAAGCGUGGGGAGCAAACA
Molecule: ribosomal RNA, 422 nt
Filed under: uncultured bacterium
Lineage: Bacteria
Description: bacterial SSU rRNA
Rfam family: Bacterial small subunit ribosomal RNA
Source: RNAcentral